AAAUUGAAGAGUUUGAUCAUGGCUCAGAUUGAACGCUGGCGGCAGGCCUAACACAUGCAAGUCGAACGGUAACAGGAAACAGCUUGCUGUUUCGCUGACGAGUGGCGGACGGGUGAGUAAUAUCUGGGAAACUGCCCGAUGGAGGGGGAUAACUACUGGAAACGGUAGCUAAUACCGCAUAACGUCGCAAGACCAAAGAGGGGGACCUUCGGGCCUCUUGCUAUCGGAUGUGCCCAGAUGGGAUUAGCUAGUAGGUGGGGUAACGGCUCACCUAGGCGACGAUCCCUAGCUGGUCUGAGAGGAUGACCAGCCACACUGGAACUGAGACACGGUCCAGACUCCUACGGGAGGCAGCAGUGGGGAAUAUUGCACAAUGGGCGCAAGCCUGAUGCAGCCAUGCCGCGUGUAUGAAGAAGGCCUUCGGGUUGUAAAGUACUUUCAGCGGGGAGGAAAGGAGUAAAGUUAAUACCUUUGCUC
Molecule: ribosomal RNA, 477 nt
Filed under: Shigella flexneri
Lineage: Bacteria; Pseudomonadati; Pseudomonadota; Gammaproteobacteria; Enterobacterales; Enterobacteriaceae
Description: bacterial SSU rRNA
Rfam family: Bacterial small subunit ribosomal RNA
Source: RNAcentral